AACUGGGAAAAAGAACUCAAAUGCAACUCACAAAGCAACAGCUUAUUUACACCUUAAACUCCAGCAGAGAACAGUUCAGCUGAAAAGUUGACACGACCAAGGAAGGAAGCCGAGUUGUGGUGAUUUUUGCCCUUCAUCUACAGUUCCUUUGAAGAGGAAAGACUUUUAAACGGCCCUGCUAGCAUGAUAAAUUUACUGAGCACCAUGAAGUCAGGAGUAGGAUUACUAAUUUUCCUUCUCAGUCAUGAUGCCUCAACGGCUCCAAUAAACAUUGCUUCAGCAUCGACAGAGAAUGCAAGUCCUCAAACAGGCAUUUACCUUGACAUUGGCAUCAUCACUGCUGUUGUCAUUGUGGCUGUGAUUGUCUUUGCCUUGAUAGGAAUGUCUGACCAUGAAAAGGAUGACGAACGUGUCAAGUUAAAUAAAGGUACGACUUCAAGCCAGGAAACACGCUGUACAAAAUGUUGCACCAAAUAUUCUGAAUGUUGUUGCAGUCUUUUAUCCUGUUGUUGUUCAGGUUGUGCUGAAUCGCUUACCAAAGCUUGUGACAUAUGCUGCAUGUCUCUAGGUUAUGGAUGUAUGGUACCUUUAUAAAGUAUCCUUUGAAUAUUCUAUACAUCAUUUUUACUGUUAUACAGCUAUCCAUGCUCAUGAAAGUAUCUGAAUAUGUUUUGAUAUAACCUUUCUACUCAGUAAACAGACAGCAUUGUUUUACAGUGCAAGCUGCUUCCCUUCAUCCACAUGGACUCAGAAAUUACGUGCUAUUGUUUACACUCUGCAAGCCUUUGGAGCAUAGUUACCGAUGGAAAAAUAUGUUAUGCAAUGUACUAAUUAGUGUGAGCAGUGUGACAGUCAAGAGCACACUUAUAACUGUUCUUUUGAGAAGCCUGUAGAAAGAAAAGUGUUAUUGUGUGACAGUUUUACAGCAAAGGAGGGUGAGAAUGAUACAAUGUAAUAAAAAGCUCAUUGGGAACUUCCCCUUUUGAGCACUUGCAUUUGACGUACUAGAGUCUGGGACUCCUUAAAAAGAAAGACGUUCUCCAAAAAAGCAGUUUGAGGAUGUAGAGGUGACUGGGAGAGUGAUGAGCUCCAUAAACCAGAGGAGCGAAUUGUGGGAGUCCGGGACUCCGACUUUUCUAGUCCGGGAUUAGAGGGCAGCUUGUACAUGUUAAAAGCAAAAGUAAUAAUAAUAAAUUGUUGUUGUUGGGCAAAUAGGUUUUCCGACAGAAGCUAGAUGCAAGGAAAUGCAAAAACCUAGUAAACCAAAUACGAACUAAGGAAUUAUGCAAAUCAAAGGAUAAAAGGAAUUUAUGGUAGAGAAAGGGACAGUGAAGACUACUUUAACUGCAGUUGUCACGCACAUUGGGCACAAGCUUCCUUAGGAAAGAACAAAAGAGGGGGAAGUAAAGCUGGCAAAGAAGGGAGGAAGACUUUCUUAUAUGACCAGGGACUGUUAGCGGAUGCAGGAGGGGAGAAAAAAGAUGAUCUGCUGAGCCAAUUUGAAAGACAUUUUACACAUGGAGGAUAAUAUACCACAUGUGACCCUAAAAAUUGGGGAAAAGACAUAAUAUUACUCUGUGAUUGUGGACUCACACGGGCAGUAAUCUAAAUGCUAUCUAAUGUUGUCUAAAGAAAUGGGUAAAAAAACCUGUGAAAAUGGAAAAUAGGGAGUCUGGAGAAACAAACUGUGAGUGCUGGAGUCUGUUGCUCAUCCUUAGGCCCUGUAAAUUUGCAGGGGAGAAAUUUAAUGACUAAACUAGGAAUAGAACCAGUAAAAAUAAUCCCCUAAACAUUUUAAAGCCCUCACUGAAGACAGCACCCACUAAAAAAAAAGAAAAGAAAAGAAAGGGUGAGCCGAGAUGUAUCUAAAUUCCACACAUGGAACCAAAUAAUCAUGAGCUGGAGAACAAAGAGUAUGAUGUAACAGCAGUAGCUGAAGUGAAAAGCAUUUAGGAUGAGCAUAUCGAAAAUCCUAACCAGAAGAGAUGUGUUACUGAAUGUUUUUGUUGAUAAACACAGCCUUAAUUAUGUGUAUGUAAAUGUGUAUAUUCUUUAAAUUGUUUUGUGUGUUGUGUCAUGUUAUAAUUUGGGGCAUAACUGGAUAAACAGGAGGGAAAUGAUGGAAAAAAUAUGUUACGCAAUGUACUAAUUAGUGUGAGUUGUAUGAUAGUCAAGGGCACACUCAGUACACUUAAUGCAAGCAUGCCUGGUUACCAAAAAAAGUAUUACAGUAUCUGCUUAUUAAACGAC
Astatotilapia calliptera (eastern happy) is the source of this 2250-nucleotide long non-coding RNA. NCBI's taxonomy places the organism in Eukaryota, Metazoa, Chordata, Actinopteri, Cichliformes, Cichlidae. The record is from Ensembl.